GGGGAGGGGGCAGGAACCCUCCUUUCUAGGAUAUUACGGAAACCUACACCCUCUUCGAAACUGGGGAAAAGAUUUGAGAGAUUUAACUCUCAAAACUUGCUCUUUGAAAACUAGAUAAUAUCAAAUAUAUUUUUUGAGUUUUUUAUUGAAGUUUAAUUAUCGCUAAACUCAUUAAUCGCAUUUACCGUUAGGUAAAUGAGGUUAAGUUAACAAGGGCGCAGGUGGAUGCCCUGGCACUCA
RNAcentral lists this unclassified non-coding RNA (240 nucleotides) under Lactiplantibacillus paraplantarum. RNAcentral's name for it is "Lactobacillus paraplantarum partial contains 16S-23S intergenic spacer and 23S ribosomal RNA". The record is from RNAcentral. Lineage: Bacteria; Bacillati; Bacillota; Bacilli; Lactobacillales; Lactobacillaceae.